RNAcentral lists this unclassified non-coding RNA (676 nucleotides) under Hevea brasiliensis (rubber tree). Lineage: Eukaryota; Viridiplantae; Streptophyta; Magnoliopsida; Malpighiales; Euphorbiaceae. The record is from RNAcentral.
GGAGGUUUGUUUGGCCUGGGAUUUUGUCUGCCUGGUUAGCUCACUGCUUGCUGCCAUUUGAUCCCCUCAUAGGCCUUGUCAUGUGACUCCACGAGACAUCAUGUGCCUAACCUUUCUACCCAAUCCGUAGCCUGUAGCCAUCCAAGUUUUACCAAAAAUCUUAAAUUAGAAAUUCCAGUGCAUUGGGAGCUUGGAAAGAAGCAAAACCAUGUGGAUAGGCAAAGGGGUUGUGAUAAGAGUUGGGAAUUUCAAGAUGCGAAAAGGAAAGGAAGAGCAGCUGAUUUCUUUUAUUGAUAACCAAAAGAUAAUUUCCAAACACUCAAACACAAAAUAAUUCACUGGGUAACUGCAGAACAACUCAAAGACAAAAAGAACAGAAAAACAAAUAACGCCACCGUGCAAUAUGCCUGAUAAUACUUAUUAAUUCCCAAAGAUCUCCCCUUAACUCCCUUUCUACUCUAUUUAUAGGCUAUCUUGGCUGUCCAUAUCUCCAGAAGACAUCUCAUCCUUAUCUUCCUGUUAACAAACUGGAGCUGAUCUUUGUUAACAAACUGAUUUGUAUGCAAUAAGUUAUACUCAAUUACAUUUUGUAUUGUAAUUUGGGGCUUGUCGAUGUGAGCAUUCUUGGUUUCCUCGCAAGCAGUGUAAAGCAGCCUGGUAGCUUCUGAGUUUGAUU